Molecule: ribosomal RNA, 429 nt
Filed under: Chloroflexota bacterium
Lineage: Bacteria; Bacillati; Chloroflexota
Description: Chloroflexi bacterium partial 16S ribosomal RNA
Rfam family: Bacterial small subunit ribosomal RNA
Source: RNAcentral
UGGGGAAUAUUGCACAAUGGGCGCAAGCCUGAUGCAGCCAUGCCGCGUGUGUGAAGAAGGCCUUCGGGUUGUAAAGCACUUUCAGCGGGGAGGAAGGCGUUAAGGUUAAUAACCUCGGCGAUUGACGUUACCCGCAGAAGAAGCACCGGCUAACUCCGUGCCAGCAGCCGCGGUAAUACGGAGGGUGCAAGCGUUAAUCGGAAUUACUGGGCGUAAAGCGCACGCAGGCGGUCUGUCAAGUCGGAUGUGAAAUCCCCAGGCUCAACCUAGGAACUGCAUUCGAAACUGGCAGGCUAGAGUCAUGUAGAGGGGGGUAGAAUUCCAGGUGUAGCGGUGAAAUGCGUAGGGAUCUGGAGGAAUACCGGUGGCGAAGGCGGCCCCCUGGACAAAGACUGACGCUCAGGUGCUAAAGCGUGGGGAGCAAACAGG